RNAcentral lists this ribosomal RNA (403 nucleotides) under bacterium. Its description in RNAcentral is "partial 16S ribosomal RNA". It matches the Rfam family "Bacterial small subunit ribosomal RNA", at positions 355 to 776 of the family's 1533-position model. The record is from RNAcentral.
UGGGGUAUAUUGCACAAUGGAGGGAACUCUGAUGCAGCGACGCCGCGUGAACGAAGAAGGCUUUCGAGUCGUAAAGUUCUUUUAUAUGGGAAGAUAAUGACGGUACCAUAAGAAAAAGCUCCGGCUACCUACGUGCCAGCAGCCGCGGUAAUACGUAGGGGGCUAGCGUUGUCCGGAAUCACUGGGGGUAAAGGGUUCGCAGGCGGAAAUGCAAGUCAGGUGUAAAAGGCAGUAGCUUAACUACUGUAAGCAUUUGAAACUGCAUAUCUUGAGAAGAGGAGAGGUAAGUGGGAUUUUUAGUGUGUCGGGGAGAUGCGUGGAUAUUAAAGAGAAUACCGGUGGCGAGGGCGACUUACUGGGCUGAUUCUGACGCUGAGGAACGAAAGCGUGGGUAGCAAACAGG